CACGUAGUUAGCCGGAGCUUAUUCCUCAGGUACCGUCAAAUUCCUCUUUCUUCCCUGAUAAACGAACUUUACAUUACGAAUAACUUCUUCGUUCACGCGGCGUUGCUCGGUCAGGGUUCCCCCCAUUGCCGAAAAUUCCCUACUGCUGCCUCCCGUAGGAGUAUGGACCGUUCUCAGUUCCAUUGUGGCCGUUCAACCUCUCAGUCCGGCUACGCAUCAUCGCCUUGGUAGGCCCUUACCCCACCAACUAGCUAAUGCGCCACAGGCCCCUCCUUAAGCAGAUCUCUCUUUUAAAUAUAAAAGAUUCUUCCUCUAUAUCCUAUCCAGUUUUAUCCAUCGUUUCCAAUGGCUAUCCUCGUCUUAAGGGUAGGUUACCUAUGUAUUACUCACCCGUUCGCCACUAAAGUACCCGAAGGUACUUCCGUUCGACUUGCAUGUAUUAGGCACGCCGCCAGCGUUAAUCCUGAGCCAGGAUCAAAACUCU
Molecule: ribosomal RNA, 484 nt
Filed under: uncultured Anaeroplasma sp.
Lineage: Bacteria; Bacillati; Mycoplasmatota; Mollicutes; Anaeroplasmatales; Anaeroplasmataceae
Description: partial 16S ribosomal RNA
Source: RNAcentral